UGGGGAAUAUUGCACAAUGGGCGCAAGCCUGAUGCAGCCAUGCCGCGUGUGUGAAGAAGGCCUUCGGGUUGUAAAGCACUUUCAGCGAGGAGGAAGGUGGUGAACUUAAUACGUUCAUCAAUUGACGUUACUCGCAGAAGAAGCACCGGCUAACUCCGUGCCAGCAGCCGCGGUAAUACGGAGGGUGCAAGCGUUAAUCGGAAUUACUGGGCGUAAAGCGCACGCAGGCGGUUUGUUAAGUCAGAUGUGAAAUCCCCGGGCUCAACCUGGGAACUGCAUUUGAAACUGGCAAGCUAGGAGUCUCGUAGAGGGGGGUAGAAAUUCCAGGUGUAGCGGUGAAAUGCGUAGAGAUCUGGAGGAAUACCGGUGGCGAAGGCGGCCCCCUGGACGAAGACUGACGCUCAGGUGCGAAAGCGUGGGGAGCAAACAGAUUAGAUACCCUGGUAGUCCACGCUGUAAAACGAUGUC
Molecule: ribosomal RNA, 468 nt
Filed under: uncultured bacterium
Lineage: Bacteria
Description: partial 16S ribosomal RNA
Rfam family: Bacterial small subunit ribosomal RNA
Source: RNAcentral